UGGAACUUAGCUCAGUUGGUUAGUAGCGUCUGACUGUUAAUCAGAAGGUCAUGGGUUCAAGCCCCAUAGUUCCAG
Molecule: transfer RNA, 75 nt
Filed under: Ackermannviridae sp.
Lineage: Duplodnaviria; Heunggongvirae; Uroviricota; Caudoviricetes; Pantevenvirales; Ackermannviridae
Description: tRNA-Asn
Rfam family: tRNA
About the family: Transfer RNA (tRNA) molecules are approximately 80 nucleotides in length.
Source: RNAcentral